UCCGUCGUGAAGAGGGAAACAACCCAGACCGCCAGCUAAGGUCCCAAAGUCAUGGUUAAGUGGGAAACGAUGUGGGAAGGCCCAGACAGCCAGGAUGUUGGCUUAGAAGCAGCCAUCAUUUAAAGAAAGCGUAAUAGCUCACUGGUCGAGUCGGCCUGCGCGGAAGAUGUAACGGGGCUAAACCAUGCACCGAAGCUGCGGCAGCGACGCUGAUGCGUUGUUGGGUAGGGGAGCGUUCUGUAAGCCUGCGAAGGUGACCUGUGAGGGUUGCUGGAGGUAUCAGAAGUGCGAAUGCUGACAUAAGUAACGAUAAAGCGGGUGAAAAGCCCGCUCGCCGGAAGACCAAGGGUUCCUGUCCAACGUUAAUCGGGGCAGGGUGAGUCGACCCCUAAGGCGAGGCCGAAAGGCGUAGUCGAUGGGAAACGGGUUAAUAUUCCCGUACUUGGUGUUACUGCGAAGGGGGGACGGAGAAGGCUAUGUUGGCCGGGCGACGGUUGUCCCGGUUUAAGCGUGUAGGUGUGUGUUCCAGGUAAAUCCGGUUCACUUUAACACUGAGGCGUGACGACGAGGCACUACGGUGCUGAAGCAACAAAUGCCCUGCUUCCAGGAAAAGCCUCUAAGCAUCAGGUAACAUCAAAUCGUACCCCAAACCGACACAGGUGGUCAGGUAGAGAAUACCAAGGCGCUUGAGAGAACUCGGGUGAAGGAACUAGGCAAAAUGGUGCCGUAACUUCGGGAGAAGGCACGCUGACACGUAGGUGAAGUGAUUUACUCAUGGAGCUGAAGUCAGUCGAAGAUACCAGCUGGCUGCAACUGUUUAUUAAAAACACAGCACUGUGCAAACACGAAAGUGGACGUAUACGGUGUGACGCCUGCCCGGUGCCGGAAGGUUAAUUGAUGGGGUCAGCGCAAGCGAAGCUCCUGAUCGAAGCCCCGGUAAACGGCGGCCGUAACUAUAACGGUCCUAAGGUAGCGAAAUUCCUUGUCGGGUAAGUUCCGACCUGCACGAAUGGCGUAAUGA
This 1021-nucleotide ribosomal RNA is filed under the name Salmonella enterica subsp. enterica serovar Typhimurium. RNAcentral describes it as "bacterial LSU rRNA". It matches the Rfam family "Bacterial large subunit ribosomal RNA", at positions 1004 to 2007 of the family's 2925-position model. The record is from RNAcentral. Lineage: Bacteria; Pseudomonadati; Pseudomonadota; Gammaproteobacteria; Enterobacterales; Enterobacteriaceae.